GACGUAGGGCGCGAGCGUUGUCCGGAUUUAUUGGGCGUAAAGAGCUCGUAGGCGGCUUGUCGCGUCGUCCGUGAAAACCUGUGGCUCAACUGCAGGCUUGCGGUCGAUACGGGCAGACUAGAGUUCGGUAGGGGAGACUGGAAUUCCUGGUGUAGCGGUGAAAUGCGCAGAUAUCAGGAGGAACACCGGUGGCGAAGGCGGGUCUCUGGGCCGAUACUGACGCUGAGGAGCGAAAGCGUGGGGAGCGAACAGG
RNAcentral lists this ribosomal RNA (253 nucleotides) under uncultured bacterium. RNAcentral's name for it is "partial 16S ribosomal RNA". It matches the Rfam family "Bacterial small subunit ribosomal RNA", at positions 524 to 776 of the family's 1533-position model. The record is from RNAcentral.